GGGCAAGGUCGCGGUGACGUCUCCAAAGGAGAACAUGCCGGGUUCGAGUCCCGGCUUGCCCACCA
Molecule: transfer RNA, 65 nt
Filed under: Delftia acidovorans
Lineage: Bacteria; Pseudomonadati; Pseudomonadota; Betaproteobacteria; Burkholderiales; Comamonadaceae
Description: tRNA-OTHER
Source: RNAcentral